CAACUUCCACCUGGCUUACCUCCNUCAGUUAUGCGUCAUGACUUGUAUCGUCUUGAGCGUAUUGUGGGUUUCCUGUGUUGCAUACCUUUCUAAUGGUAUCGUGCUGAUUGAUCGAAGUCCCUUUUCAUCUUGUGUUGCUUUUUGUGACGCAUGAUGAACAUCGAGGCGGUCUCUAUGUUCCACCACGUUGAUGCUCCUGUUUCAAUGUUGUGGCCCAUUGAGUGUUGCUUGGUUUCGUGGAUACAGAACAUGAUUUGGGCAUAGGGUUACUUGUGACUCUUGUUCUGUCCUUUAUCAGUGUUCUUUAUAACGACGGUUCAUGCGCGCCUAGGCUCGUACCUGCGCGAUGUUCUUUGUCAAAGAGGAAUGCUACCUGGUUGAUCCUGCCAGUAGUCAUAUGCUUGUCUCAAAGAUUAAGCCAUGCAUGUGUAA
Molecule: unclassified non-coding RNA, 432 nt
Filed under: Senecio australis
Lineage: Eukaryota; Viridiplantae; Streptophyta; Magnoliopsida; Asterales; Asteraceae
Description: partial contains external transcribed spacer and 18S ribosomal RNA
Rfam family: Eukaryotic small subunit ribosomal RNA (bases 371-432)
Source: RNAcentral